AGUGGCUCAUUUCGUACCAGAGAAACCUAUGUAUGAACAAGGAUUGAUU
Molecule: ribosomal RNA, 49 nt
Filed under: Laurus azorica
Lineage: Eukaryota; Viridiplantae; Streptophyta; Magnoliopsida; Laurales; Lauraceae
Description: 26S ribosomal RNA
Source: RNAcentral